Molecule: ribosomal RNA, 429 nt
Filed under: Bacillota bacterium
Lineage: Bacteria; Bacillati; Bacillota
Description: Firmicutes bacterium partial 16S ribosomal RNA
Rfam family: Bacterial small subunit ribosomal RNA
Source: RNAcentral
UGGGGAAUUUUGGACAAUGGGGGAAACCCUGAUCCAGCCAUGCCGCGUGUAUGAAGAAGGCCUUAGGGUUGUAAAGUACUUUUGUUAGGGAAGAAAAGCUAGUUUUUAAUAAAAAUUAGUGAUGACGGUACCUAAAGAAUAAGCACCGGCUAACUACGUGCCAGCAGCCGCGGUAAUACGUAGGGUGCAAGCGUUAAUCGGAAUUAUUGGGCGUAAAGCGAGUGCAGACGGUUACUUAAGCCAGAUGUGAAAUCCCCAAGCUUAACUUGGGACGUGCAUUUGGAACUGGGUGACUAGAGUGUGUCAGAGGGAGGUAGAAUUCCACAUGUAGCGGUGGAAUUCGUAGAGAUGUGGAGGAAUACCGAUGGCGAAGGCAGCCUCCUGGGAUAACACUGACGUUGAGGCUAGAAAGCGUGGGGAGCAAACAGG